This 301-nucleotide ribosomal RNA is filed under the name uncultured bacterium. Its description in RNAcentral is "partial 16S ribosomal RNA". It matches the Rfam family "Bacterial small subunit ribosomal RNA", at positions 509 to 807 of the family's 1533-position model. The record is from RNAcentral.
CAGCAGCCGCGGUAAUACGUAGGGUGCAAGCGUUAAUCGGAAUUACUGGGCGUAAAGCGUGCGCAGGCGGUUUUGUAAGACAGAGGUGAAAUCCCCGGGCUCAACCUGGGAACUGCCUUUGUGACUGCAAGGCUAGAGUACGGCAGAUGGGGAUGGAAUUCCGCGUGUAGCAGUGAAAUGCGUAGAUAUGCGGAGGAACACCGAUGGCGAAGGCAAUCCCCUGGGCCUGUACUGACGCUCAUGCACGAAAGCGUGGGGAGCAAACAGGAUUAGAUACCCGAGUAGUCCCUGUCUCUUAUAC